RNAcentral lists this ribosomal RNA (420 nucleotides) under bacterium. RNAcentral describes it as "partial 16S ribosomal RNA". It matches the Rfam family "Bacterial small subunit ribosomal RNA", at positions 355 to 776 of the family's 1533-position model. The record is from RNAcentral.
UGGGGGAUAUUGCACAAUGGGCGAAAGCCUGAUGCAGCGACGCCGCGUUGGGGAUGAAGGCUUUCGGGUUGUAAACCUCUUUCGCUAUCGAACAAGGCCCGCUUAGGGUGGGUUGAGGGUAGGUGGAGAAGAAGCGCCGGCUAACUACGUGCCAGCAGCCGCGGUAAUACGUAGGGCGCGAGCGUUGUCCGGAAUUAUUGGGCGUAAAGGGCUUGUAGGCGGCUUGUUGCGCCUGCUGUGAAAACGCGGGGCUUAACUUCGCGCGUGCAGUGGGUACGGGCAGGCUUGAGUGUGGUAGGGGUGACUGGAAUUCCAGGUGUAGCGGUGGAAUGCUCAGAUAUCUGGAGGAACACCGAUGGCGAAGGCAGGUCACUGGGCCAUUACUGACGCUGAGGAGCGAAAGCAUGGGUAGCGAACAGG